Long non-coding RNA from Homo sapiens (human), 1273 nucleotides. Ensembl annotates it as long intergenic non-protein coding RNA 882. The record is from Ensembl. Lineage: Eukaryota; Metazoa; Chordata; Mammalia; Primates; Hominidae.
AGGCUCGGCGUUGGCCUCCGCGGCCCGUGCGAGUGCGCCCUUCUCGGGUCCCCUAGGUCGCGGGGCAGCCGGGGCGGAAGGGGCUUGUUCAUUAUUUUGAGAGUUUGUUGUGAACGUCAUAACCUUUCGUCCUUAAAUAUUGCCGAUACUUGACCUACGCAAGAGACAAUGUCAUGUGAUUCAGCCUAAUAUCUCAGAGGAUGCAGCAUUCAAGGUUCUAUCUUGGAAGCAGAGACUGUGCCCUCACCAGAUGCUGAACCUGCUGAGCACCCUGAUCUUCCACUUCACCUUCAUCAGAACUUGACACAGCAAGAUGACCAUCUAUGAGCCAAGAAUCAUGUCCUCACCAGACAACAAAUCUUCUAGCACCUUGAUUUUGGACCUCUCAGCCUCCAGAACUGGACGCGCAUGAAAUUUGGUGCCGUGACUCGGAUCGGCGGACCUCCCUUAGGAGAUCAAUCCCCUGUCCUCCUGCUCUUUGCUCCAUGAGAAAGAUCCACCUACGACCUAAGGUCCUCAGACCAACCAGCCCAAGAAACAUCUCACCAAUUUCAAAUCCGCCCUCAAACUCCACAACAGGACUUAAUUAACCUUGCCUUCAAGGUGUACAAUAAUAGAAAAAAGUUGCAAUUCCUUGCCUCCACUGUGAGACAAAUCCCAGCCAUAUCUCCAGCACACAAGAACUUCUAAACGCCUGAACUGCAGCGGCCAGGCGUUCCUCCAGAACCUCCUCCCCCAGGAGCUUGCUACAAGUGCCAAAAAUCUGGCCAUCGAGCCAAGGAAUGCGUGCCGCCCAGGAUUCCUCCUAAGCCAUGUCCCAUCUGUGCGGGAUCCCACUGGAAAUCGGACUGUUCAACUCACCUGGCAGCCACUCCCAGAGGCCCUGGAACUCUGGCCCAAGGCUCUCUGACUGACUCCUUCCAAGAUCUUCUCGGCUUAGUGGCUGAAGACUGACGCUGCCUGAUUGCCUCGGAAGCCCCCUAGACCAUCACAGAUGCCGAGCUUCAGAAAUCCUUCAUCUAAUCUGGCAAACACAUGUGGCAGGUUUUUCUCACCGCAUAAAAUAUGUUAUAGAGUAGUCCAUCUAUUUCUCUUCCAUGGAAGAGUUCAUCUGGUAGAUUGGACUACCACUUUUCCUUGUGAGUAUAUUGAUUAUGUGUCCCUACCUGUUAUUAUUUGACUUACACUCUCUCUGUCCCUGAGAGUAUUCCUCGUGCAUUAGCGUUGGGAUUGGAUACACAAUUUAUAUGAGAAAUAAAUCUUUGUUGUUGCA